Molecule: ribosomal RNA, 465 nt
Filed under: uncultured bacterium
Lineage: Bacteria
Description: partial 16S ribosomal RNA
Rfam family: Bacterial small subunit ribosomal RNA
Source: RNAcentral
GACGAAUGCUGGCGGCGUGCUUAACACAUGCAAGUCGAACGGAAAGGCCCCCUUGUGGGGUACUCGAGUGGCGAACGGGUGAGUAACACGUGAGUAACCUACCCUUGACUUUGGGAUAACUUCAGGAAACUGGGGCUAAUACCGGAUAGGAGCUCCUGCUGCAUGGUGGGGGUUGGAAAGUUUCGGCGGUUGGGGAUGGGCUCGCGGCUUAUCAGCUUGUUGGUGGGGUAGUGGCUCACCAAGGCUUUGACGGAUAGCCGGCCUGAGAGGGUGACCGGCCACAUUGGGACUGAGAUACGGCCCAGACUCCUACGGGAGGCAGCAGUGGGGAAUAUUGCACAAUGGGCGGAAGCCUGAUGCAGCAACGCCGCGUGCGGGAUGACGGCCUUCGGGUUGUAAACCGCUUUCGCCUGUGACGAAGCGUGAGUGACGGUAAUGGGUAAAGAAGCACCGGCUAACUACGUG